UCCCUGGUGGUCCAGUGGUUGGGACUCAUCACUUUCACUGCCAUGGCUCAGGUUCAAUCCCUGGUCAGGGAA
RNAcentral lists this transfer RNA (72 nucleotides) under Bos taurus (domestic cattle). It matches the Rfam family "tRNA". From Rfam's summary of the family: Transfer RNA (tRNA) molecules are approximately 80 nucleotides in length. Their secondary structure includes four short double-helical elements and three loops (D, anti-codon, and T loops). Lineage: Eukaryota; Metazoa; Chordata; Mammalia; Artiodactyla; Bovidae. The record is from Rfam by way of RNAcentral. RNAcentral also lists the same sequence under 5 other names.